This 3422-nucleotide long non-coding RNA is filed under the name Rhinopithecus bieti (black snub-nosed monkey). RNAcentral's name for it is "lncRNA (ENSRBIG00000045970.1)". Lineage: Eukaryota; Metazoa; Chordata; Mammalia; Primates; Cercopithecidae. The record is from RNAcentral.
GCUGGGAUUACAGUCGUGAGCCACCGCACCCGACCCUAAUCGGCUUUUGCCAUCCAGUGUCGGGCCCAGCCUUCUCCCGCAAGUAUGCAAAACAAGUUGGUAAAAAUCAGAGAAGCUGGAUGGGUAAGCCUGAACUGUGAAGUUAGAUUUGUCGGUAAAAUGAUGGGGCUCUUCAGUAACUUCAGGAAAUGCCUUAGAUAUAGCAUGGAGUUCAGCUUUAGUUCCAGAGACAUAAGAAAUUUGAGGACCUCAGUGUCGUCAGACAGCCUGGUUUUAAGGGGAUAAGUUUUUAUAGGUUGAGGUUAUGAAGCAGAAGGGGAAGGGCUGUUAGUGGGGAAAGACAUCAGAAAAGAAAGAAAGAGAAGGGUUAAGAACCAGUAUAUGGGACCUGAGAGAGAAAGAUUUGGGCUUCAAAUGCUUUUUUUUUUUUUCUGAGACAGUCUCGCCUGUCGCCCAGGCUGGAGUGCAGUGGCAUGAUGUCAGCUCACUGCAACUUCUGCCCCCGGGUUCAAGCGAUUCUCCUGCCUCAGCCUCCCAAGUAGCUGGGACUACAGGCGCGUGCCACGAUGUCUGGUUAAUUUUUUUUUUUUUUUUUAAGUAGAGACAGAGUCUCGCCAUAUUGGCCAGGCUGGUCUCGAACUCCUGGCCUCAAGUGAUCUGCCCACCCUGGCCUCCCGAAAUGCUAAGAUUCCAGGUAUGAGUCACUGCGCCUGACCCACCUGUCUAAUUUUUAAAUUUUUUUUAGAGGCUGGGUCUCACUAUGUUUUUCAGGCUGGUCUUUGACUCCUGGGCUCAAGCAGUCCUCCCACCUUGGCCUCACAGAAUGCUGGGAUUACAGGUGCGAGCCCCUGUGCCUGGACACAACCUAUUAAUAGUAGUAGUAAUAAUAAUAACAUGUCCCCCUGUCCUUCUCUGGCCUUACUGAGUAGUCCCAGGCUUUCCCCACAUGCCUCUCAGGACUCAGUUUCCCCAUCUCGAUGCUCUUUCAGUCCCCUCUCUUGCCGGGUGUCCUAGUGGCCAGGGUGGUGGGUGGGGCCGCUAUCUUCCUGGCCUGUUUGCUCUCCCUCUUCCGGGGCUGCUACCCUGGCCAAGGCCCUUGAAUAAAAGGCAAGGGCACCUAUGUCCUGCUUCCUUCUCUCCAGCCUGGAUCAUGCUCUGGCUCCUCUCUGCCCUGGUGCUCCUGGGAGCGCUGGCCACCCCAGCAGGAAGCUCCAAGACAUGUCCAGCCUGCUCUUUGCUGCGAAACUGCACUAAAAUAACUUGUCCUUCUGCCCAGGACUCCUGCUUGUUUAGCCAGAUGCAGCUGGAAAAUGGGACUCUCAUUGAGAAGGGGUCAUGUGUGGCCCCUGGAGAAUGCCAAGAAGGUGUCUACGCCCUGACCUACGGCCCCCAUGCAAGUCUCUGGGUCAGCACAGCCUGUUGCGAAAACAACUGCAGUAGCCUUCCCCAGCAAGAGGCAGGGCCCAAGGCCAAGCUCAACACUGUGAAAUGUCACUACUGUUCCGGGAAUAUGUCAGCUUCAUGUGACUCCCUUUUGGUCAUGAACUGCACUGGGAAACAGACUGCAUGUGUCACCCUCAACGGGACCUGGAGUAGAGGGGGUCCCCAAAUUCUGAAGGGCUGUGCUACACCAGAGGUCUGCAACUUAUAUGAGAAUGCCACCCUGGGUCCAGAAGACUCUGGAUUUCAUCUCACCGCUAAGCCUGAAUGCAACUACCUUACUCCUCCUACACAGCCAGGUCCUCAUGCAACUGUGACACACGCCAAAGCUGAGACCACCAUCUGCUUCACCUGCUCAGACCUCCACAGCUGUGGCCCACUUCCGUGCCCAGAGGAUAAUAACUACUGCCUUCAGAUCGCAGGCAUCACAGCAAUUCAUCUGGCCUCACACACCCUGAGUGAGAUCUUGUGUCCUACAUGUCCUGGGAGCUCCUUGGAGCCCUGCAAUUCCUCCUUCUACAUGCAGUGUCCCAGUGGGGAAACUGAGUGUGUCCAGCUGGACCUGACGUCUGAAGAAGGCGGCCGGAACGUGAGCGUACGCGGCUGCGGCUCCAGAGACCUGUGCAGCGCCCUGUACUGGACCCACGGGCUCCCGGUGCUACCGAGACAUCGGCUGUCCAGCCACUGCAGCCCCGGCCGCCGCGCGGUCCUAGAGUCCCACUGCCGCUCGGGCGCCGCGCCCGGCCUCCGCCUCACCCUGCCGGUUCUGGCGGCAGUCCUGGCGACCGCGACGCUGUCCUAAGGAAUCCCGCCUGGACCACCCUGCCGUCCAGGAGGCCCCCUCCUCCUGCUUGUCGGGCACGUCGCUAGAUGGUGCCCUGGCUCCCCUCUGCUGGGGCAAUGAGCAGACCUGGAAGCUUCUGGUGAGAAACUCAGGAAGUAGGGGUGAUCUGCCUCCCUCAGACUAGUGCUUCCCAAAGCCAGACCUUCUGCUCCAGACUCAGGGCUUACUCACGGCUAAGUCCUCUUUCCUCCCACCAGGGCCCCAAAGGCCAUGCCUCCAUCAGCCUAGGGUGUGUCUUCCCCCCUCAGACUAAGGCCACUCACCCCCUGCUGAGAUCAGACCUUUGCUCAGCUCAGGCGAGGGGGGGGGGGCGCUGUACCUCCCCACUCUGAUUGGCACUUUCCCCAAGGCCAAACCUCCUCACUCAGAAGAGGGCUGUUCUUCUUCCUCAGGUUAGAGACACCCCCAUAGCUACACAUUCUUUCCUUUAGAUCAGAGGCCCUCAAAGACUAAGCCUCCUUCUUCAAACGAGGGGGUCCCCAACAUCCGGCUGCUCCUGGACACCAGGGAUGUGUCUCUUCUCCCACACAUUGACAAGCAACUUCUCCUCUUUCGUUCUCCCUCUUUGGGGUCUAGCAAAAUCCUGGGCAGCCAAGGUGGGGCUUGAGGAUCCAAUACACCCGCUUCCAAGGUUUUCAGGGCAGCCUCCUCCACCCCUACCGUGGUCCAAGACCGGGCAGGGGGCUUGGGUGGGGUGAAGAGCCCCUCUUCUGUGUGGGCUCAAUCUCCCAGCUGUAACCAGAUCUGAAUGAAUCACAUCUCACAAUGCCAAGUGGUCUGAGUUUCCUUUUUCUGACGUUUUAACCUCAAAGAGGGACCUGAUGUGGUCCUCUCUUCUCUGGGGCUAGAGGAGGUUAAGCCUCUUCAACUGGGGAACCUGGUGGGGACAUACUGACAACAGUGUCUGGGAGCCAGGGUGGGCAUAAGACCAAAUGCUGCAUCUAGAACUGAACUCAGAGGACUGAGCGGAGAGGUGACACUGGGGAGCUCACCAUAGGCAGAAAGCCAGGAACCGUUUGCUUUCUGCUGAAAGUGGCUGGGCGUGGUGGCUCACGCCUGUAAUCCCAGUGACCGGGGGCUGACAGUGGGAGAGAGGGCUACCUAAGAAACCACUCCAGGCCAUGCACCAGACAGAUUA